GUUGCAGCCGUUGUGUUUGCUAUCUAAUCUUAAGUAAUUGGGUUUCUACUUUCCCGGAGACAUUGAUCCACGUGCAACAGGAGGUUUUUGCCACUGCCCAGACAUCUCCUUGCUCAGCAAGUAGAAAAUCAAGGGCUAUACUAUUGUGCAAAACUACGUUGGCCAGUAAGUUGAGCCACCGUUGCUGGGCUGACAUUGCUUUGGCUGUGGAGUCGGCCAACUCUUCCAGUGUCAGCGAGAGAUUCCUGAUCAUUCGUCCGUUGGCACUCACUGUGAUCCCCAGGUUAAGAGAGCUCUUCCCACAGGCAAACCCAGAGUCAGCAAAGCAGACUGUGAUGGGCAUUUAAGAAUAACAAUCCGCUGGGAGCUGUGUGGAUCUACUGCUGGAGGAAGGAAGGAAGUCAGGGGACGGAGUGCAUGUUCAACUCCUAGGUAUCUCCCCAAGAGAAACGAAAACGUAGGUCCACACGAAAACUUGUGUAUGAAUGUUCACGGCAGCCUUACUGUAACAGCCAAAGCUGGAAACAACCGAGAUGUCCAUCAACUGAUGAAUGGGUUCAUAUAAUGUGGCGUAUCCACACAAUGGAAGAUCUUCCUCUAGGAGAAGGAAUGAAGUAUCCACAGAGGCUACAACAUGGAGAAAACUUGAAAACAUGCUAAGUGAGAGAAGCCAGACACAAAAGUCAUACAUUGUAUGAUAUUUCAAUGAAAUGUCCAGAAUAGACAAAUCUAUAGACAGAAGGUAGACGGGUGGUUGCUUAGGGCUGGCGGAGGAUCGGAGAUAGGAGACAGCUAACGGGCAUGGGGGUUAUUUUGAGGUUAUGAAAACGUUCUAAAAUUGACUUUGGGGGUGGUUGUAGAUAUCUACGAAUAUACUAAAAACCAUUGAACUGUACACUUUAAAGGGGUGAAUUAUAUGGUUUGUGAAUUAUAUCUCAAUAAACUAUUAUUAAAACACAAACAAAAGGCCCACGGUCAGCAGCUUGCUGAGCCCUGUUCACAUUAUACGUGCAGUCUCCCACAAUCUCUUACAAUAUCCUGUAUUAUUUUAAUUCUUACAUUUAAAUGUUUGAUCCACUUGAAAUUUAGUAUUUUAUGGUGUAAGGUGGGGGUUCAUUUUUAUUUGUUCCCUAGGACUAUGUUAUUGGGCUUCCACCACUUGUGAAAUAAACUAUCCCUUUUUCCACUCAGAUGGGGAAUCUCUUUUGUCAAAUAUUAACCUCUGUAUCCUGGGAUCUAAUUCUGGAUUAUUUAUCAUGUCCAUGGAUCUAUUUGUCUAUGCCUUCCUCAAUGCCACAAUGACCUGAUUUUAGUGACUUUAUUGUAUGUUCUGGUUUCUGUAAAGGAAGUCCCCUCUCAUGUUCUUUUCUUUCACACUUGACUUGUAGCCAGUAAGCUUAUCAAAAUGGCUAUCACUCCCUGCUUAAAAGCCUUUAAUGGAUUCCCACUGCUCUGCAAUGAUGGCCUGCAUCCUAACUGGCCCUGAGCGCUGCAUGCUUGGCCCUGCCUCGCCCUCCAGCUUCACUUGGCCAAGACCGCUUCACCUGGACUUUGUACUUCAGCCAGGCCAAAGUCACUCAAGUGUUCCUGCCCCAGGGCCUUUGCACUGGCUGUUUCCUCUGCCUGGAAUGAUUUUCCUUCUCUUUUGUCAAGUCCUCCUCUUCUUUGGCCUCAGUUUGAUCAUCACUCCCGCGGGAAGCCUCUGCUGACCUACCCGACUAGAACAAAUCCUUUCCCCACAUUGUGAACUUGUACUGUGCUGCACUGGCUACACUGCAAUAUUCCAUUUAUUCAUAUAAUUUUUUGAGCAAUGUCUGCCUCCUCCAGCUUCCCAUUGCCUUCCCAGUAUUUAUCACCGUGUCCCACUCAUAGUCAGUACUCAAAAACAAAAAAAGUUGAAGGAGUGAAUAAACAGGUAGAGACCGAACUCAGGCACCUGUCUGCCUGGCUUCUGAACAGCUUACGCUCUCCCCUUCCUCAUGCUUGUGCUGCCCUGGAGCAAGCCCGGGAUGGGCUGUUAGGAGCCCCGGGUUUUAGAGUCCGCUCUGCCUCUGAUGGAGCCAGUGCCCUGCACCUGUUUCAAGGUGCUCCCCGACUCCCUGCUCUCAUGGUCUCACAGUCCCAUGGGAGGCAACCCAUCGGCGAAACGGCGAAGAGGGGUUUAGACUGGGGCAUGUCAACACGUCACAUGGCUCAGGCACCCCAGGUGUAGCCAUAUCUCAGUUCCACCUGUAUUGUUAUCGAUUUAAAAUUUUUAUUGAAAGGACUUUUUAAAAAAAUUUAUCUUUUGAAAAGAAACUUUUAAAAAUAAGGCCAAUUUUUAUUACUUCUGUCAUUCCAUUGUAAUCACUGGUCGCAUUUUGUCUAAGACACAUUUCCAUAAAUUUGUACCUAUUCGAGUUAGAACGGCUCAUCCGGGAGCGAUCUGGAAUCCUCUGGUCCCUCCAGUGGCUGAGGUUCAGGGUUUUGGGAAAUCCUGGCCUGGGGGCUGGUUGAGGACAGGCAGCCCUCUACAAAACUCUCAUUUGUUCAGUCAGUGAACAAAUGCCUGCCUAGGACCACCAUGUGCAGAGCUCUGGCCGGGCCCUUCCACACCAAGGUGCCCAUGUGUGUGUCCAGGUCAGUGGGUGUCUGUGUGUGUCUCCGUGAGAGUUUAUGGGAUUUUUGUGCACGCAUGGGUGCACAGGCCCUCUCCCCGGGCUCCCCCCACGGACUUCCUUCCAGGCCGAAUCUGGGGAUAGCCCAUGUGACGGCCCAGGCGGGUCUGCUUUCUCUCAGGGCCAAGGCUGUGGAGUGAGGGAGACAGGGGGGCCACCAUGGCGGUGGGCACCUCGGCCCCGCCAGAUCUCCCGGAGGCCAGUAAGCAUAGCGGGCCCCUCAGCCAUCACUGGGGACUAAGCCGCCCUGGGACCUAGAAUUCUAGAAUGUUCCUAGUCUCACCCUCUCAUCCUACCAAUGGGGAGACAGGCUCCCCAGUAGGGAGAGGCCUUGCCAGAGACACUGAGCACGUAAGUGGCAGGCCGAGGCCUCAGGGUCCUCUCUGACCUGCUGCAGCUUCUCCACGCACUCUCAGGGGAUCAGCCAGGCGCUGUCUGUGGCAAGGACGACUUAAAAUGAGGAGAAAACAAGUACUUUGAAAAAAUUCAGAUAAAAGCUAAUGUGUGUCGAGCUCUCACUGGAUGUCAGGCACUGGUUUGUUUGUUUGUUUGUUUGUUUUUGAGGAAGAUUAGCCCUGAGCUAACAUCCGAUGCCAGUCUUCCCCUGUUUAUAUGUGGCACGCUGCCACAGCAUGGCUUGACAAGCAGUGGGUAGGUCCGCACCCGGGGUCUGAACUGGCGAACCCGGGGCCGCCAACGCUGAACGGGUGAACUUAAUCGCUGCGCCACUGGGCCAGCCCCUCAGGCACUGUUUUAAGCACUUUAAAUACAUUAAGUCCUCAAACAACUCUAUGGGGUAGACACAAAUAUUAUCAUCCUAUUUUCCAGAUGAGGAAAGUGGGGCGCAGAGAGGUUCACUGAGUCAACCAGGGUCACACAGCUGGUAGAUUGGCUUCGUGGCCGACACUCUUUGCCUCUACAUUAAGCAGAGAAGGGGAGCAAGGCUGGCAGCCUGUGGCUAGAAAGCUGCUGUUCUUCUGACUCCGAGUUGAGACUAGCCGGUGCCCUUGGCCACCCCACGGCAUGUUCUUGAAGUCCAAGGUGCUGCUCUCAGCUUCGCCUGUGCUGUCUAGGCAUGACUUCUCAGAUGAGGAGACCAAACGCAAGGAGGUAGAGUUGUGCACAUGCUCGAGAUCACACAGCUGUCCCCAGUCCCCUCACCAUUUGCCAGGCACCGUGCUGAACACUUUACCUGCUUUACUUAAUUUAAUCCUCACAACAACCCUAUAAGUAGGAACUACUAUUCUCCUCAUUUUACGCAUGGGGAAAUGGAGGCUCAGAGAGGUUAAGUAACUUACCCCCGGGCACACAGCUAGUAAGUGGCUGAGGCAGCACUUGAACCCAGGUCUGUCUGAUCUGAAGCCUGUGAUCUUACCCACCAGGCUCUCCUGCCUCACGUGUCCCUGCACAUCCUAACCACACGCAAGGAGGUAGAGCGCAGACAUGGCCCCACCUUACAGAGGAGGAAACAGGGGCAGCUUGCCUGAGAGCACAUAGUUAGUGAACGUGGGAUCCAGGACUCAGAACCCCAGGUCCAUCUCAUUCCCUGGCCAGUACCCUUUUCUUUGUUCCUUCAGGAAUGUUCCAGAAAAGGCCCCAGCUCUAUGGUUGUGUGUGGUCAACAGCCCAAAGCAAUUUCUGAUUUAUCAUUCUACAGCACUUUCCCACCAGCCAGUGAAGGUCAGAUGCGGGCCAUUUCACAGAUGGGCAAUCAGAGGCCCAGAGAGGGGAAGAGACUUGCCCAAGGCCUUGAACUAGGGUCCCUGACUCUCAGUCCAGCGAGGGAGGCUCCAGGGAGGGGGUCCUGCAGGGGCAGGUUCCCGCUCACUGGUCUCUGCUCUGGCCAGAGGCAGGAGGGUGAGGUCAUCGCCUUAUCAGACUAAUUGCCCCCCUGAAGUAUAAUCCUGCCGCUCAGCUGGAACCUGCGGGAAUGAUCCUGGAGACAGGAGCUGUUAUUGUCCAGAUCGGGGGUCGGGGGGAGGCAGUGGUCAGGGAAGGGGGGCAAGCUGCCCUCAUAACACCCCUUGAAGCGGUUUGCUUUCUCAAAGGCCUCUGGAGACAGGCAUUUCUCGAUUUCUGAAGGUUUCUGCUGCUUUCGUGCGCAGUUGGCGGGGAUACGGGCCAUGGUAACAGAAAUGGCGUCAAGACAACCUGCCUCCUUAGACAAAACAGGGCUGGAACAAUGCAGGUGGGGGCUGUGUCCCUCUGACGCACAGGAGUGUGGUCAUCGAUGGUGGAGAUAAAAGUUAAGCAACUGGGCUCAGGAAAUGUUGGACGGGGUCAGCCCGCCCGGCUGGGGAAAGCCCUGAGGGGCUGGCGUUGGUGGGACAUGGGUGGGUCCACAUAAAGCUGGCUGUUGAUGGGACGGACUGAGAAUCAGGAGGCCAUGAUGGCAGUCGUACAAUAGCCACCAUUGAUUUAGCGUGGCUGGUGUUCCUGGCACCGCGAAAUAGUAGCUGAGCCCACUGUGUGGCCAACAGUGCUGGAGUCACAAGGCCUAGGUUUGAAUCCCAGUAUCGCCACUUCCUAGCUGUGUGACCCCGGGCAGCAGGGCCGGACUAGGGUGAGGAGAGUGAGGUGCCCAGGACACAAAAUUUAAGGAGGCACGACCCUGAGAUGGAACACCCCCUAAAUUUUUGCUCCCCGGGUGCCUCUCUUGCCUCAGCCUAGUAGGCGGGUCACCUCCCCUCUCUGAACUCCAGUUCCAUCAUCUGAAUGAUGGGGAUGAGAAUAACAGUCUGCCUCGGAGGGUGGUGAGGAGUACCCGAGAAGAGGCAGGGCCAGCACUUCACACAGUGCCGGCACACAGUCAGCACUCAGGACGCCAGGGUCCUGCCUCGGAGGAAGGCUCUGCUGUGUGCUGGGCUCACAGCAGUGACGGUCACGGACUGAAGUUGCUGUCCCUUUAAAUUCCUGGGUUGAAGUCCUAAGCCCCAGUGUGACGGUAUUAGGAGGUGGGGCCCUUGGGAGGUGAUGGGGUCAGGAGGGUGGAGCCCUCGUGAGUUGGAUUAGUGCCCUUGACAGAGACCCCGGUCACGUGAGGACACAGAGAAGUCCACAGUCUGCAUCUGGGAAGAGGGCUCUCACCAGAACCCGACUGGCUGGUACCCCGAUCUUGGACGUCUGGUCUCCAGAACUGCGAGAAGUAAAUGUGUGUUGUCUAUAAGACCCCCAGUCUAAGGUGCUUUGUUAGAGCAGCCCAAAAGGACUAGGACAGAGGCACACUCGGUCCCUGCCCUCUCGGUGCGUACAGUUGAGCCGGGAAGACACAGGGAAUAGACUGUGAGAUGAGAUGAUGAGGGAGGAGGGGGAGCCAGGGAAAACACCAGCGAGACGAGAAGCAGGACGAGAAAAAGAAAAAUCCCACUCCCCAAAGAUGGUUGCUUAGAAUCAAGCAAGGUGUGUUCCUGCUCUGAAAAUGACCCAAACCAGGGUGGCACCGUGUAUCUCACUCUAUUUAUUUUAUUCAACCCUCAAAACCGUAUCCCCACAGGAUAAGUGAAGAAACUGAGGCUCAGAGAGGUGCAGUGAUUUCCCUAAUGUCACACAGCUUGGACGUGACAGAGCCAGGACUCAAAGCUAGGACUACCUGAUUCUCUCCUCUACAGCUUGAUCCUGCUGCAAACUGGAUGUAUGAUCUCAGGCAACUCAUACUUUCCUUUCCAAGCCUCAGUUUCCCCACCCUUCAAGGUAGAAGAUGAGGAUCACAUGAGGUCAUGAAUAUGGGAGCACUUUGGACAUUGCAAGCUGCUGUCUGUGGCCGAAGGGUUAUCAGUGUAGUGAUGCAGAAAGCACCAAAGGGCCCCUUAUCUGUGAGGACCACCCUGUGGGCCCCCUACCCCCCACAGGAUCUUGCUCUGAGUCAGGGUGCUGAGUCUCCCCAGGCCUCCCUGACGUCUUUCCUGCUUGGAGGAGCAGAAGCAUUGGAGGCACUGUAACCAGCAGCUGUGAGGAAAGUGCUGCUGGCCCCUGUUUAGCAGAGGAAGCAACUGAGGCACAUUAAGGUAAGACAUUCAUCCCCGGGGCACAGUUUGUGGCCAAGAGGGAACCUGGAAGCAGACAGUCCUUGGACACCCCUGCUGUGGUUUCCUAGUGGACGAGACCCUCCGGAUGGGCAGCACAGGGCAGCUCUGGGAGAAAGGGGCCAAGGUCCUGGUUUUCUCGAGGGGCAGGGUGGGGGAAGAGGGCCCCACCAGCCUUCCAUCUCCCUCCGCCCAUCCCCCUCUCUGGGGCGCCAGCCCCGCCCCACCGUGCAACCCCUCCAGGCCCUUUCAAGCUUCCUUCUCGCCUGCUUGUGAAGGACAGUAAUCCCACACCUUGGUGCUUUCUCAUGGGAGGAAAGAGGAUUCUGGAGCAGAGGGCCAGACCGAUUUAGGGAUAGGCUCAGGAUGGAGAGGAUGGCGUGGGGCGUUGGGUGAUGAAACAGGACCCUAUCUAGCCAGGCUGACACCCUCAUUUUUUCAAAACUGUUGGAACCCAGAAAGGGGCUCAAAGUCUCAGAGCAAGUCAGGGGCAAUACCUGAAGCUAGGUGUCCUGAGUUCCAAGUCCAACGACCUUGCCUUCGCCCGCCUCGUGCUGUGACCUUUAGACGGCCAGAACCUUUGCUACGGGCAGGCAGGAGGCACUGAAAAAUACUUGUUGGUAAAUGAAUGAAUGAAUGAAUUCAUUCAUUCAUUCCGGUCCCUCCUCUAGGGGGCGCAUGGGGGUGCGAUGCUGACUUCUCUAUGGGACCCUACCUGAAUAGGCAGGGUUUACCCCUCCAAAACAUCCCUUCUUCCCUUGGAAUUAAUUCAUGGGGGUCCCUCCUUUCCCUAGAGGGUUGUGUGCCACCUAGAGGAAGCUGGGAGCCCAGCGUCCGCAUCCCUUGGGGAGAGUGACAAGGGGAGAGGUGCCCACCCUCCAUUUCUAGGACUGCUGCUACCCACUUCCAGUCUCUUACCUGACACCAGGAGGGUUCUGGCCAGGAUCAGCCUCAAUAAACAUCUAGGGAAUGAGGACGUCUUUGCAGCAGAAAGGACUUAAAGUAGAAUAUGCCACAUACUUUCUUAUCUCAGUAUUUUCUACUUAGAGGCCACUUUUAAGAACUUUCCGUCCCCUUUCCCCACCUCCCUGGUUUCCUUACCUUGAAAAGAUGCAGACAGAAGAAACAAUGUCACUUCCGUGGUGCUCCUGCCGAAGAUGCAUAACCUGAAUCUAAUCCUCAGACAAAACCCAGUGAAGGGACAUCCUACAAAAUAAUAGCCAGUCAUCUUCAACCUUGUCAAGGUCAUGAAAGUCUGAAGGAUUGUUCCAGGCUGCUGGGGAUCAAGGAUCCACGACAACUAAAUGCCAAUGUGAUUCUCCCCCAGGGCCGAGUGUCAGAUGGUGUCUGCAGAUUCUGUGGUGGGACACGCGAGUGUUAGUGUCCUGGCGGAGACGGCUGUACUGUGGUUUAUAGGAGAUUGUGCACGUUUGUUGGAAAUAACAUGCAAGUGUUCAGGUGAAAUGGGGUGUCAUAUCAGUAACUUACUCUCAAAUAGUUUAGGGAAAAAAACUUUACGUGCUGCACUUGUGGCUUUUCUAUAAACUUGAGAUUGUUUCAACGUUUAAAAUCUACAUAGUAUAAAAAUGAAUCGACUUAUUACAGGAAAAAAAUGCAGACAGUAAUCCUCUGUCUUCAGGUUGGAAUGGUGGUGAGAUGAACUCUGUAAUCGUGAUACCAUUUUAUUGAGCUCUGACUGAGGGCUUUCCUUAGGUCACCCCAUUUACUCAUCAUAUGCUUCGUCUGUGAAGUUGGUAUCUUCACCCCCAUUUUUCAGAUGGAGAAACUGAGACUCAGAGGGUUGAAGUGACUUGGCCAACGUGGCUGAAUUUGCAGCCCUCCGACUCUGCACCUCACUGUGCUGCCUUCCCUUGAGCUGCCUCAGCCCAGUGCCCGCCCCAGGGCCAACACCGCCCUUCUCUUCUCGUCUCCACCAGUCAAAAUCUUCCUACUCAUCCACACCCAGCUUUAGUGCCAUUUCCCCAGGAUGUCUUCUCUGAUUCCCCCUACUGGAUACAACUGUCCAUCCUCUGAGAUCAGUCCUUCUCAUGGUCAAUCAUUCAUUCAUUAAAAAAAUAUCUGUUCAGAGCCUUCCACAUGGCGAGCAUCGUGCCAGGGGCUGGAGAUGUGCUGAUGUAUAAAACAGACACUGUCUCUGUCCCUGUGGAAACGGCGACUAAAAGCGUCAGUCAACAAACAAAUACACAUAGAAUCCCAAAUGUGAUCGAAGCCACCAAGGAAAGAACAGGUGCUUUGACAGCGGGGUGGUGAGAAAGCCUCUGGGGAGGACAGCGUCAGGGGCACAAAGGAGCCAAGUGGUGGAAGAGCGGAGCCAGGAGCUGGAGGAAAACCAGUACACCAGAGGACGGAGGUGCUGGGGCUGAGGUCCUGGCUAGCAGCAGGCAGGGCCAGAUCGCACAGAGGCUGUUUUUAAGGAAGCUGAUCUUUACUCAACUGCAGAGGAAGCCCCCAGAGGGUUGUGAGCAGGAGAGACCUGAUGAGAUUUACAUUUUUAAAGAUCACCCUGGUGCUGCUGUGGACGAUCAGAGGGCACAAGAGUAGAAGCAGAUGGGUCCUUAUCUCUCCCUUGCUGUUUUCUGGUGAGUCCAGGUCUUAUCUUGCUUUCUAGAGAGCUCCUUGAGGCCAGGGAUGGCGUCUGUCUCAGAGGUCGCCCAGCCCAGGCUGUUUGUCCCAGGCCUGACCGGGGGGCUCUGUCUCCUGGCCUAUGCUCUGUCCCUGAGGACAAUCUGGGACACACUCUGCUCUCAGCUCGCUGGUGCUCUGCGGCCCCAGCACGGGUGGAAUGUCUGACAGAGGAGCACACGCACGUGUUCUCCAAACAGACCUUGAUUCAUGUUUCCAGGAGAAGCUCGCAAACAGACUCCUGCCGGCCGCAUCCAUCAGGGGAGAGAUGGGCUCUGUAAACAAAGGUCCACAGGCUGUCUCCAUCUUCCACACAGACACCCAUCCCUGCCGGCCACUGGCAGCCCCUGGCCCCGCCCUGGCCAUGCUCUAUGCCAAGCCCCUAUCCAGAGCCUCAAAGACACACUGCCCCUUACCGCCCCGUCUCGCAGCUGAGAAAACAGAGACUGAGAGAUGUUAAGUCCCUUGCCCAAGGUCACAUAGUCGACCCAGCUACUACACGCGCUAUACUGUAUUCUACUCUGCCACUAAUGAGAAUAGUAGUAACUCACAUUCGCCGAGGGGCACUUGUGAUGUGCUGAGCACUGUUCUAAGGGCUGUACGUAGAUUAACUCGUUUCAUCCGCACCAUCACCCUGUGCAGUCAGGGCUCUUACUUUCCCAUUUUUCUUAAGGGGAAACCAAGGCCCAGAGAGGGAGGUCAAGUGAUUGCCCCAAGUCACUCUGAGAGUGAUUAGGGGAGGGGGGACUGGAGCCGGGCAGGGAGAGCCCAGUGCCCACGGGCUGCUCUCUGGUACUGCUCCCCCGGCCUCCUGGGAGCUAAGAGCAGGCCCAUUCUUCUCCCUCACCUUUCUCUCUGUUUGAGAAUUUGAAAAAACCGAGGCCCAAAGGAGGGAAGUAACUGGGUCCCAGCCGCCCGGCUUCCACGGCAGAGUGGGGCCUGGAGCACGGGACCUGUGGGCUUUCCUUUUCAGAGGCCAGGAUAGGAGCCAGGGGUAUGGUUCUACUCCCAGCAAUGCUGCUGCCUUGCUGUGUGACCUGCAACAAGUCACAUCCCCUCUCUGAGCCUCAGUUUCCCCAUCUGCUCAAUGGGAAUGACAAUGCCAGCCCUUACCCACGUUAUAAGCCCUGCUGUAAAACCGAGUGUGUGAAGGGGUUGUGGAACAGAACAGGAUGAGUUUCGCAGCCUGGAUUCCUGUCCCGUGAAUGGAAUGUCCAAGCAGCCCCAGGGGUGGGGCUGGGCUGGGCCUCCUCCAUAGUGAGACCCCCCACCUUGGGCUCCAGCCCAAAUUGCCAGACACAGGCCUGAGAGGAGGGCCUCCCCUCCAGGCGGGGGUGACCAGGAGCCAGUCGGCUGGCCAUUUGUCCACAGAUGGGUGUGCAGAUAAGAGGCGUCUGGAGAUAAGGCAGGGCCUGCUUGCAGCCUAGUGGCGAGCCAGGCCAAGCCCCUGCGGGGAGGUGGGGCGGAGAGAUGGGGAGCUCAGGGCGCCUUGGGCAGAGAGGGCUGGACCCCCGCCCCAAGGCCUGGGACAGAACUCUUUCUGCUGCUCCAUGGCACAGGCCUAGUGCCCUCCCCGCUUCCGGACCUGCCCCCACCUCCGACAAAAUAAGACAGAAUAAAGCAAACAAAUAAACAAACAAAAACAUAUACUUUUAUCAGAAGUGCUGCUUAAGCUAGACAAAGCCACCAGCUAACACCGGGUCCAAGUCUAGCCCUGCCACUGACUUCCUGGGCAGCAUGAAGUCACUGCCCGACUCUGAAUCUCAGUUUCUUCAUCUGGGCAGUGGGCACAGGCCUGUCUUUCCCUCCUUCCUCACAAAUACCAAGGAAUCCAAAUAAUAAGAAACAGCUAACACUGUGCUCGUCCUGGGAAGUGGGUACUGUUGUGAUCUCCACUUUACAGAUCCAUAAACUGAGGUAUGGAGGGUAGGUCACACAGCUGGUAAGUGGGGAGGCCAGGAUUCAAAUCCAGGCCAUGGGAUUCCAGAGGUGGGCUCUUAGCUGCUCGAAAUGUCACCGCCAAUGUUAUUAAAGGAACAAAGCAAACUGCAAUUAGAGCCCAUCUCAGUUUAAAAAUUACACACACUUAUGUUUGUAUAUUCAUAGACAUUUUUGGAAAAAUACACUUGCGAAUGUUAACAGCAUUGAUAUCUAGAACAGGGUUUCUCGACCUUGGCACUAUUGACAUCACAGGCUGGAUCAUUCUUUGUUGUGGCCUGUCCUGUGCACCGCAGGACGUUGAGCAGCACCCCUGGCCUCUGUUCGUUAGAUGCCAGUAGUAGCAUGGCCUCCCCACCCCCAGGCUGUGACAACCAAAAAUGUCUCCAGACAUCCCCAAAUGUCCCUGGGAGGCACCCACCCCCUCCCCCAUUGAGAUCCACUGAUAGAGGAUGUGACUAAGAGGGAUGUUUGCCUUCUAAGCCCUACCCUGAUAAUUUUGCCACGUGCAAGCAUGACACAUUGAAAUGAGAAGAAACACCAGUGAAGAUGAAAGAAUAAAGAGAGGUCAUUGGAUGGUGGGUGGGUGAGUAGAAGGAUAAAUGAACGUUGACCAAAGGAGGCAGAUGGAAAUCAGAGCCUCGGUACACUGGGGGAGCAUUUCGAGACCAUCCAGUCAACUCCUGCAUUUUCCAGAGAGGAAAAGGAGGACCAUAGAGGCAAGGGGCUUGUCUGAAUCCACAGAACAGGCUGGCACAGGGUGACAUGAAAGCUUGAGUGUGUUGACUCCUGGUCCAGUGCUCUGAACCCCAGAAUGUGAAAAGGCAAACGAGAGAACGGCUGCUCCGAGAAAACCUCCCUGCUUUGGCAGCUGGAGGGUCCUGGGGCUUGAGGGCAGAGCUGCCCCCCAGCCUGAUGUCUUCAGAUAAUGGCUGGAACGUUCUGGAGGCAAGUGACUCCACAGGUGACCUGGUCCCCUCGGUGUGGAGGGCAGACACCUGCACACACGGCAGUCCGCGCCGAGGGCCAGAUGAAGGGGAGAGUCUGUUCCCCCGCUCAGUGUGGUGCAGUGUGAAUGGAAGGCCGAUACAGACUGAGACAGGUCGGGGGGCCCAGAGCGCCAAGCGAAGGAGGUAGCGGGGAGCCUUAGGGCUGCUGAGAGCAGGACCACUCAGGGGACGAGCUGUGGCUACGGCUUUGAGGAGAACCUCUCCCAGAGAUGGCCAUAGUGAGGGCAACGACAGGUCUCCUUCUUGAACACUUAUAUGUGCCCGAGGUUCCACAGAGUGUCCCAGGGUGGAGGCGGGAUUCCAACCUGUGUCCCUCUGGCUCCGAAGCCUGUGCUCUAACCUUGCUCUCUACCUCAGUGGAGCACUGCCCAGCCAUCAGGACGAAGGCGGCAGCCACAUGACUCACGACAACCAAGAGGUGCAAACAAGCCGAGUGUCCAACGACAGCGGAAUGGAUAGCAAAGUGUGGUCCAUCCAUGCAAUGGAAUAUUAUUCAGCCUCAAAGAGGAAGGAAAUUCUGCCAUAUCCUACAACAUGGAUGAACCCGGAGGACACUAUGCUGAGUGAAAUAAGCCAGUCACAAAAUGACAGAUCCUGCAUGAUUCCAUUUAUAUGAGGCUCCUGGAGUCAUCAGAUCCAUAGACACAGAAAGCAGAGUGGUGGAUGCCUGGGGCUGGGGGUGGGGGGUGGGGAAUGGGAAUUAUUGCUUAAUGGGCACCAAGUCUCAGUUUUGCAAGAUGGAGAGAGUUCUGGAGAUGGGCUGCACAACAAUGUGAAUGUACUUAAAUCACUAGUGAACUGUACUCUUAAAAAUGGUUAAGAUGGUAAAUUUUGUGCUAUGUGUAUUUUACGACAAUUGAAAAAAAGGAUGAGGCAGAAGGUGGGAGAAAUAGGGCUCCCUCGGGGAAACAAACCCCCUGCGAUUUCUGGAAUAGGGAUUUGUUGUGGGAAUCACACCCUCAAACCAUUGGGGGAGUGGGAUUCAGGAGGGGGCUGGAGGAGAAGAGGGGCCCAGGGGAUCUGAGGAACCAGGGAAGGGGCUGCCCAGUGGGGAGCUGUGCCUCGGUGGCCGUGUCUCUACUGUCCGCCCUCCCUGGUGGGUCCCACCCCUGUCAGUCUGCUGGGCCAUUGGCCGGGAAAAGGAGCGGGACGUGGAGAGAAGAGAGUGAGGAAAGGCAGCCGUCAUCUCUGCGUCUGCCCAGCAGGGCGUCUGCCCACCACAAUCUGGAGCGGUUCAACCUCGAGAGAGGGACGCCGCUGCUCACUUCCGCCUUCGGAAUCUCCAUGAAUUCCUCUUCCCGCCAACUCUAAUGAAAAACCCUGCGUGAAGGGCAUUUGGGGAGACAGUUCUCACCUUAACCAAGAUCACCGAGAACAAAUCGCCACCUGGGGUAAUGGUGGAACAAUCUCCGAGAUGCACGGUUAACUGAAAAAGAUGGAGGAAAAUAUGGAUGGUAGGCAGGUUUUCUUUCCAAAUUGUGGUAAAAUACGCAACAUAAAAUUUACCGCUGUAACCGUUUUUAAGUGUACAAUUCAGUGGCAUGAAGGGUGUUCAUACUGUUGUGCAACCAUCACCAAUAUCCUUCUCCAGAACUUUCUCCUCAUCCCAAACCGAAACUCUCUGCACAUUGUUUUCUAAGGAUAUCACUCACACACACACACAUACACACACACACACACACACACGCUCUCCUCUCUACCUCUGCGUGCACACAGUAUCUCUGGAAAGAUACGCAAGAACCGAGAGACUAGCAGUGGUGUCUCUGGAGAGGGAGACGGGCAGGCAGGGGUGGGACGGAGAUUACUGUGGGAGACUUACUUUUCACUUUUUAUUCUUUUGUACCCUUUGAACAUGUCUUUUUCUUAAUUUUUUCCCCCCAGAAGCUGUCCUCAUCCCCUAAUUCAGAUUGAGUUUAGAAAGAAAUCACCCUCUCCUUUUUGAAACAUCAGAAUGCUGUGGUUGUCCACCCACCCGGGAGCACACAACUUCCGGCACAGUUGGGUGUGGAAUAAAGAUGGCUGGACCGUGUCACUCACUGCGUGGCCUUAGGCCUGCCCCUUCCCCUCUCGGGGCCUCGGUGUGCCCAUAUGUACAAGGAAAGACUUGGAAGAGAUGGCGCCUCAGAGUCUAUGAUGCUCGGGGAUGUCUGGAUUCUAAUCAGGUUCAAAAUUCUCCCUGGAGGCUGGUCUGUGCAGUGGAGGAGGAAGCAGAGAUGCAGGGAGAUAGGGGGACUGGCCCACAGCUACCUGAAGAGACAGCACUGGGGAUGGGAGCAGAAACGGGAGUGUUCCUGGUCAACUGCUGCUCGGAGAUACCCAUGAGCUGGCCCCAAACAAACUCAGCGUCAGUAAUGGAAGCAACAACUCCCAUUCAACAAUCAGGAAACACCAAAAGGCUUCUGUUAUAUAUUAAAAUAUACUCAUGACUAUUAAAAUAACAAACGCUCACUAUGUGCUUUGUAAAAUCGCCUAGUUUACCAUACUUCGGAAAUGCUGACCUGGUCAGUCCUGAUCACUGUACAAUGGGUGUGUCUGGGACCCCGGAGAUGGUAGUAUAGGGCAGGGUUAAUGCCUUCAGAUUUAAGCAGAUUUGCAUUCAGACUUCAGCUCUCCCAGCACGUGGCAAACGCUGUGUGUUAGCCAUUACUAUUAUUAGGUACUGUAAAAUAAAAUUAUUGCACACUGGAAAAUGUAAAAUAAAAAGUGAACUUAUUCCUCAUGGUUAAAAAACAAGUUGCAUAUGACAUACACUUAAUUAGGCAUCAAAGACCUCCAGAAAGAUUCUGGAGCACUGAGUUUGGGGCGCUCUGUUACUUAGCAUUGUUGGGCAAUAGCUGACUGACACAGAUGUGAUCAUGGUAUAGUAGUUUGCUUUAAAACAAGCCCCCACCUUUUAGAGAUACAUACUAAAAUGUUUACAAAUGAAAAAAAUUAAGACAUUUUAAGAGAAAAAUUGUACUCUAUUGCCAGACCAUACAUCAGACAAGUGUUCUACCUGGAGUUUACUCGAGCUUCGUGCCCCUGAGUGCCUGUCUCCUCUCCUGCAGUGGUUCCAGGGGUCUGGAGUCCUGGGGUGUCAAAGCUGGCAUUGCGGGGGCAGGGCGGGGUGCUUUGGACUAUGCUGUCCAUGUCCUCAUUUGGGGAGUCCAUGGACGAUGGAGGUAAAGUCACUGCGAGCUGAGGCUCCACCCAGGACUCCUGAUGCGCCCGCUUUCCGUUCCUCCACACUGGUAAGAGCAGGAGGCCACAGCUGGCUCUGGGCAUCUCCCCCACUCCCAGGCUCCAUCUCUGACUCAGAAUUGCCAAUGAACGCAAGGAAAUAUUUUCCACUUUUCAGCCUCUGUCUGUGCAAAAAUCCCAUUAAGCAGCCUGUCCAGA
This 15648-nucleotide long non-coding RNA is filed under the name Equus caballus (horse). RNAcentral's name for it is "lncRNA (ENSECAG00000058544.1)". Lineage: Eukaryota; Metazoa; Chordata; Mammalia; Perissodactyla; Equidae. The record is from RNAcentral.